Non-coding RNA from Triticum aestivum (bread wheat), 136 nucleotides. The record is from Rfam. Lineage: Eukaryota; Viridiplantae; Streptophyta; Magnoliopsida; Poales; Poaceae.
AAAGUACUCCCUCCGUCCCAAAAUUCUUGUCUUAGAUUUGUCUAGAUACGGAUGUAUCAAGUUACAUUUUAGUAUUAGAUACAUCCGUAUCUAGACAAAUCUAAGACAAGAAAUUUGGGACAAAGGGAGGUGUUGA